This 376-nucleotide ribosomal RNA is filed under the name uncultured organism. RNAcentral describes it as "partial 16S ribosomal RNA". It matches the Rfam family "Bacterial small subunit ribosomal RNA", at positions 526 to 896 of the family's 1533-position model. The record is from RNAcentral.
GGAGGGGCGCGAGCGUUGUCCGGAAUUACUGGGCGUAAAGGGGGGCGCAGGCGGCUUGGCAAGUCUUGUGUGAAAGGGCCACGGGCUCAACCGUGGACAUGCACUAGAUACUACCCGAGCUUGAGACGGGUAGAGGCGAGUGGAAUUCCCGGUGUAGCGGUGGAAUGCGUAGAUAUCGGGAAGAACACCAGUGGCGAAGGCGACUCGCUGGGCCCGUUCUGACGCUCAGGCCCGAAAGCGUGGGGAGCAAACAGGAUUAGAUACCCUGGUAGUCCACGCCGUAAACGAUGGGCACUAGGUGCUGGGGAGUGUGACCUUUUCAGUGCCGUAGCUAACGCGUUAAGUGCCCCGCCUGGGGAGUACGGCCGCAAGGCUG